Molecule: non-coding RNA, 30 nt
Filed under: Mus musculus (house mouse)
Lineage: Eukaryota; Metazoa; Chordata; Mammalia; Rodentia; Muridae
Source: RNAcentral
UNCAAUAGUCUCAUGUCCAGGAUCCAGGGC